Panicum virgatum (switchgrass) is the source of this 1181-nucleotide long non-coding RNA. RefSeq lists it as uncharacterized. The record is from RefSeq and is a predicted model, not a curated record. The transcript has 3 exons. NCBI's taxonomy places the organism in Eukaryota, Viridiplantae, Streptophyta, Magnoliopsida, Poales, Poaceae.
UGGAAGUUAGUCCCUACUCCAGCGGUCCAGCCACGGUCGCCAUGCCCAGCCGCCUCCGCGCGCCCGCCCGUCGCCGUCGCCCGCCACGGCCGCCUCCGCACGCUCGCCCGUCGCCGUCGCCGUCGCCCGCCACGCCAGGCCGCCUCUGCGCGCUUGCCCGUCGCCGUAGCCCGCCACGCCAGUCCGCCCUCCGCGGCUGCGCCGCGCCCCUCCCCGGGCUGGCGUGCCAGCGCCGUCUCGAUGUCCUCCUCCCGAGCUGCCUCGGCCGCCUCUUCCUACCGGCGGCGCGUCAACCUCCUUCUCCCGGCGCGUCCUCAGCCUCCUAGCGUAAGAUGGAUCAUGCUCUGUUUCCUUCUUCUGGUUCUUUAGCAUUUUGGCUCAGCCGUUCUGUUUUACUAGUACAGUAGUAGUUAGCAUUCACAUUCCGGUCAGAUUCAGAUCUUGAUGAUUGCUUAUGUCCCUCGCUCGAGUCGACAUGUGGCUCACUUCAAUUUUUACCACCAUUGAAAGGCGAUUACGUUUUUGUCUCGGCUGCAUCAGGUGCCGUUGGGCAGCUUGUUGGGCAGCUUGCUAAGCUCACGGGCUGUUAUGUGGUUGGCAGUGCUGGUUCUGAUGAGAAGGUUAACCUUCUGAAAACCAAGUUUGGCUUCCACGAAGCAUUCAACUACAAGAAAGAGCAGGACCUUGAUGCGGCUUUGAGGAGAUAUGCUGACAGGUCAGACGAUGAGUGUGAGGAGCCCGACGAUUUUAACUACCAUCAAGAGCCGAACGGUAUCCGUGUGUUGAAGCCCAAGGACUUUGAGCAUCGUGAUCCUCUUCUUCUAAAUGACUUCCUCAAGAUACACGAAGAAAUUGAGGACAGGUCGUCACAUGAGCGACUUCGUGAUGAUCUAGUAGAGCAUCUAUGGGCAAGAUAUAGUGCUAGGUAGUUUCUAUGGGCAAGUUAUAGUGCUUGUAGUUCCCAUGUAAUUUAUAACUUAAUGUGUUGGGUGCUAGGUGUGUGAGUUGUCAGCUACACUGAUUCAUCAUUUGAUUACAGUUGUUCCUUGUGAAUUCGAUCAAUAUCAUUUCAAUUGAUAUUAGCAACAUCUCCUGUUUGGGUACUAUCAUUUGAUCUGCAACAUCUCCUGUUUCCCUGAAUUAAAAAGACAAGAGACAGUUAUCAUAUCAUUUCAGAGAUA